CCCUUCGCAACCCCUGCUUUCAGUUACCAACGGGUCAUGCCGGGAACUCUGGAGAGACUGCCCAGGAGAACGGGGAGGAAGGUGGGGAUGACGUCAAGUCAGCAUGGCCUUUAUGCCUGGGGCCACACACGUGCUACAAUGGCCGGUACAAAGCGCUGCAAACUCGUAAGGGGGAGCCAAUCGCAAAAAACCGGCCUCAGUUCAGAUUGAGGUCUGCAACUCGACCUCAUGAAGGCGGAAUCGCUAGUAAUCCCGGAUCAGCACGCCGGGGUGAAUACGUUCCCGGGCCUUGUACACACCGCCCGUCACACCACGAAAGUUUGUUGUACCUGAAGUCGUUGGCGCCAACCGCAAGGAGGCAGACGCCCACGGUAUGACCGAUGAUUGGGGUGAAGUCGUAACAAGGUAAAGGG
This 413-nucleotide ribosomal RNA is filed under the name uncultured bacterium. RNAcentral's name for it is "bacterial SSU rRNA". It matches the Rfam family "Bacterial small subunit ribosomal RNA", at positions 1092 to 1503 of the family's 1533-position model. The record is from RNAcentral.